CACAGCUCUGACUUGAAGCACCAUUAUUUAUACACAAUUAACUUCUAAAACUGUCUAUCUACUUCCGAUUGGUUGUUUUAGCUUGCCUAAUUUACAUGUAUCUUAAUUGAGCAUGUGUGUUAGAGAGAACCAGUGGUGGGGUGGGCAUCAAACAAACCCCACAUUUGUGUUCUAAUGGGUCUCCUUGUUUUCUUCAGUUCAAGACUACAAAUGGAACAGCACUUUGAAAAGCAAAUGCUGCCAGCAGAACAUAGAGGUCAGCAACUGCAACAUCCGGGGUUAGAUCACCCCAAAUCUGCAUAGUCAAGGUGCUUUUAGUCUUUUGGGUGGAAGGAGAGGCAACAAUGAAAGGAGAAAGAGGAAAUUAAAACACUGCUAGUUAAAGUCUUUGUCUGAUUCGAGUGCAUGUAGAUAGCAAUAAAUCUCACAUACAUUUUUAUCA
RNAcentral lists this long non-coding RNA (442 nucleotides) under Anas platyrhynchos platyrhynchos (common mallard). RNAcentral describes it as "lncRNA (ENSAPLG00000018963.1)". The record is from RNAcentral. Lineage: Eukaryota; Metazoa; Chordata; Aves; Anseriformes; Anatidae.